Molecule: ribosomal RNA, 253 nt
Filed under: uncultured bacterium
Lineage: Bacteria
Description: partial 16S ribosomal RNA
Rfam family: Bacterial small subunit ribosomal RNA
Source: RNAcentral
GACAGAGGAGGCAAGCGUUGUCCGGACUGACUGGGCGUAAAGCGUCCGCAGGUGGUCGUGCAAGUGCGCUGUGAAAGCGGCCCGCUCAACGGGCCGAGGCCAGCACAAACUGCACAACUCGAGGUCGGGAGAGGUCGGUGGAAUUGCCGGUGUAGUGGUGAAAUGCGUAGAGAUCGGCAGGAACACCCAAGGGGAAGCCAGCCGACUGGCCCGCACCUGACGCUCAGGCGCGACAGCGUGGGGAGCAAACAGG